RNAcentral lists this ribosomal RNA (230 nucleotides) under uncultured bacterium. Its description in RNAcentral is "partial 16S ribosomal RNA". It matches the Rfam family "Bacterial small subunit ribosomal RNA", at positions 563 to 791 of the family's 1533-position model. The record is from RNAcentral.
AAGCGUGCGCAGGCGGUUAUGUAAGACAGAUGUGAAAUACCCCGGGCUCAACCUGGGAACUGCAUUAGUGACUGCAUAGCUGGAGUACGGCAGAGGGGGAUGGAAUUCCGCGUGUAGCAGUGAAAUGCGUAGAUAUGCGGAGGAACACCGAUGGCGAAGGCAAUCCCCUGGGCCUGUACUGACGCUCAUGCACGAAAGCGUGGGGAGCAAACAGGAUUAGAUACCCCAGU